This 85-nucleotide transfer RNA is filed under the name Lentinula edodes (shiitake mushroom). It matches the Rfam family "tRNA". Rfam says of the family: Transfer RNA (tRNA) molecules are approximately 80 nucleotides in length. Their secondary structure includes four short double-helical elements and three loops (D, anti-codon, and T loops). Further hydrogen bonds mediate the characteristic L-shaped molecular structure. tRNAs have two regions of fundamental functional importance: the anti-codon, which is responsible for specific mRNA codon recognition, and the 3' end, to which the tRNAs corresponding amino acid is attached (by aminoacyl-tRNA synthetases). tRNAs cope with the degeneracy of the genetic code in two manners: having more than one tRNA (with a specific anti-codon) for a particular amino acid; and 'wobble' base-pairing, i.e. permitting non-standard base-pairing at the 3rd anti-codon position. Lineage: Eukaryota; Fungi; Basidiomycota; Agaricomycetes; Agaricales; Omphalotaceae. The record is from Rfam by way of RNAcentral.
GCCUGCCUAGCUCAAUCGGAUAGAGCGUCAGACUUUUAAGAGCGGGUUAAUCUGAAGGCUGCGAGUUCGACCCUCGCGGUGGGCU